AAGAUGAAGGCGAUCAACCGUUUCUUCGAAGAAGGCGACAAGGUGAAGGUGACGCUGAAGUUCCGCGGCCGCGAAAUGGCCCACCAGGAGCUCGGCAUGAAGCUUCUGCUUCAGGUGAAGGACGACACCCAGGAGAUCGCCAAGGUCGAGGCGGAGCCGAAGCUCGAAGGCCGUCAGAUGAUGAUGGUGCUGGCGCCGAAAUAAGCGCCGCACCUUUCCGCCUCCAGGCGGUUUUGCCGGCGUUUCCGCCGGUUUUUGCCACGCUUUCUUUCCCAUUGCGCUUUUUUCCGACUGCGGUUAUAA
RNAcentral lists this unclassified non-coding RNA (303 nucleotides) under Xaviernesmea oryzae. RNAcentral's name for it is "Rhizobium oryzae Long range pseudoknot". The record is from RNAcentral. Lineage: Bacteria; Pseudomonadati; Pseudomonadota; Alphaproteobacteria; Hyphomicrobiales; Rhizobiaceae.